AGUGAACGCUGGCGGCGUGCUUAACACAUGCAAGUCGAACGAGAACGGGUUAUAGCUUGCUAUAAUUGUCAGCUAAGUGGCGCACGGGUGAGUAAUGUAUAGGUAAUAUGCCUCUUACUAAGGGCUAACAAAUGGAAACGUUUGCUAAUACCUUAUACUCCUUAUUAACAUAAGUUAAUAAGGGAAAGAUUUAUUGGUAAGAGAUUAGCCUGUAUUGUAUCAGUUAGUUGGUGGGGUAAUGGCUUACCAAGACUAUGACACAUAACUGGUUUGAGGGGAUGAGCAGUCACGCUGGAACUGAGACACGGUCCAGAGUCCUACGGGAGGCAGCAGUGGGAAAUAUUGCACAAUGGACGAAAGGCUGAUGCAGCAACGCCGCGUGGAGGAUGACACAUUUCGGUGCGUAAACUCCUUUUAUAUGAGAAGAUAAUGACGGUAUUAUAUGAAUAAGCACCGGCUAACUCCGUGCCAGCCGCCGCUGUAA
RNAcentral lists this ribosomal RNA (484 nucleotides) under uncultured bacterium. RNAcentral describes it as "partial 16S ribosomal RNA". It matches the Rfam family "Bacterial small subunit ribosomal RNA", at positions 29 to 523 of the family's 1533-position model. The record is from RNAcentral.